RNA transcript from Musa acuminata AAA Group (dessert banana), 1019 nucleotides. RefSeq lists it as uncharacterized. The record is from RefSeq and is a predicted model, not a curated record. The transcript is spliced from 3 exons. NCBI's taxonomy places the organism in Eukaryota, Viridiplantae, Streptophyta, Magnoliopsida, Zingiberales, Musaceae.
GCGUAGUAAUAUCUUCGGCUGCCCUACAUAAUUCCACAUGGCUUCGCUUCCGUCGACCGGAAGAAGCCCGGCGGCGAUGGCGAACAAACUCCACCGCUUGUUGACCAUCCCAUGGAAUCGUGAGAUCGCGCAGCCGGGAUUAGGGCUAGGGUUGAGGUUUCCGGGCGCGAGGUCCCUUGCGUCUUCCGUUCCAACGCCGGAAGAGGCAGCUCGAUUCGCUCCCUCUCCUACCCCGUCCAAGCCGGAAGUGGAGGAGGAAGACUCGGCCAGGACGAAAGGGGAAGAAGGCACCACGGUGGACGAAGAGGACGAUGGCGUCCACGUGAACAAGCUCACCGGCGAGGUCGGCGGGCCGAAGGGCCCCGAACCUACGCGGUACGGCGAUUGGGAGCGCGGAGGCCGCUGCUCAGACUUUUAGUUACUUGAAUCAACAAGGCACUUUGAAUAAACAAAGGAGGCCAGACAUGGAGUCAUCAAAUAGAUUACCUGCAUCUAGUGUAAGCCCUGCUUAAAUGCGAUGUCACGACUCCAGUCUUGAGGUGGUGUAAGCCCUGUUUAUUUAAAGGCAAAUAGACUCUUGUAGCAGUUUUUGCAAGAACAAGUCACUAAACUGAAUGAUGUCCCAUCAGCAUUGAAUAAUUUCAAUAUUUUUAUUAAUGUAAUUGGUAGAUGCUGAAUUUUGUCCAGUUCUUUGUUGAUCUGAGCAAACACCAAUAUAACCAGGUUCCUAGUGUGGCUAUUCUUAUCUGCAUCCAACAUUUAAGCUCUUGGAUCUGUGAUAAUUCCCUGCUUCCCUGCUUCCGCGUCUGUGUAGCUUCCAGAUCACCGUCACCGUUUCUCCUUGGACUGUAACAGGUUUCCACCAUCUAAAGGGUAUCAGUAACAAUAUAUUAUGGGGGCAAAAACCGGAUGAUGUAAGAUCACAGGGAACAAAGUCAAACUAUCUUAUGGUAUCUGUGCAUAGAAGUCUACAGAUCUCGGAUACGAUCAGCUGUUCUUACCGUAGAAUAAAUAUUAAA